CGAAGGGGGCUAGCGUUACUCGGAAUUACUGGGCGUAAAGGGCGCGUAGGCGGCGUUCCAAGUUAGGCGUGAAAGUCCUGGGCUCAACCUGGGAACUGCGCUUAAGACUGGAGUGCUAGAGGAUGGAAGAGGGUUGUGGAAUUCCCAGUGUAGAGGUGAAAUUCGUAGAUAUUGGGAAGAACACCGGUGGCGAAGGCGGCAACCUGGUCCAUUACUGACGCUGAGGCGCGAUAGCGUGGGGAGCAAACAGGAUUAGAUACCCUGGUAGUCCACGCCGUAAACGAUGUGCGCUGGAUGUUGGGUGACCUAGUCACUCAGUGUCGUAGCUAACGCGGUAAGCGCACCGCCUGGGGAGUACGGCCGCAAGGUUG
This 371-nucleotide ribosomal RNA is filed under the name uncultured organism. RNAcentral describes it as "bacterial SSU rRNA". It matches the Rfam family "Bacterial small subunit ribosomal RNA", at positions 526 to 896 of the family's 1533-position model. The record is from RNAcentral.